AGAUCAAGCUCCUCCGAAGACUGGGACUUCUCCACUGAAGCUGGGCAGGGCCGGAAGCCUUCCUCAGUUCCUUUAUAUACACUUCUUGUGCUGAGUCACCCUGGGGC
Long non-coding RNA from Octodon degus (degu), 107 nucleotides. RefSeq lists it as uncharacterized. The record is from RefSeq and is a predicted model, not a curated record. The transcript is spliced from 3 exons. NCBI's taxonomy places the organism in Eukaryota, Metazoa, Chordata, Mammalia, Rodentia, Octodontidae.